UGAAAGAACAGUGUCUGGUACAUAAUAAG
This 29-nucleotide non-coding RNA is filed under the name Mus musculus (house mouse). The record is from RNAcentral. Lineage: Eukaryota; Metazoa; Chordata; Mammalia; Rodentia; Muridae.